RNAcentral lists this ribosomal RNA (387 nucleotides) under uncultured bacterium. Its description in RNAcentral is "bacterial SSU rRNA". It matches the Rfam family "Bacterial small subunit ribosomal RNA", at positions 28 to 416 of the family's 1533-position model. The record is from RNAcentral.
GACGAACGCUGGCGGCGUGCCUAACACAUGCAAGUCGAGCGGUAAGGCCCUUUCGGGGGUACACGAGCGGCGAACGGGUGAGUAACACGUGGGUGACCUGCCCUCAGCUCUGGGAUAAGCCCGGGAAACUGGGUCUAAUACCGGAUAUGACUCCAUGACGCAUGUUGUGGGGUGGAAAGCCUUGUGCGGCUGAGGAUGGGCCCGCGGCCUAUCAGCUUGUUGGUGGGGUGANGGCCUACCAAGGCGACGACGGGUAGCCGGCCUGAGAGGGCGACCGGCCACACUGGGACUGAGACACGGCCCAGACUCCUACGGGAGGCAGCAGUGGGGAAUCUUGCGCAAUGGGCGAAAGCCUGACGCAGCGACGCCGCGUGAGGGAUGACGGCC